Molecule: long non-coding RNA, 2401 nt
Organism: Gadus morhua (Atlantic cod)
Lineage: Eukaryota; Metazoa; Chordata; Actinopteri; Gadiformes; Gadidae
Exons: 2
Source: RefSeq, a predicted model, not a curated record
UCUCAGAGAAUAAGGUCCAGAUGGACCCUAGCAAGGUCAGUGCUGUGGUCAAUUGGUCUACUCCAACCAGCUGCAAAAAGUUGCAACAGUUCUUAGGGUUCGCUAACUUUUACCGGAGGUUUGUUCGAAAUUUCGGUGCCAUUGCGUCCCCUUUGCAUGCUCUCACCUCUUCCAAGGUUCCGUUUGUGUGGAAUCCUCAGGCGGAGCGAGCCUUCCAACAGCUGAAGGAAAGGUUCACCACGGCUCCCAUACUCACGGUUCCAGACCCGCGACGGCAGUUUGUGGUGGAGGUGGAUGCCUCAAAUGUCGGCAUUGGAGCCAUUCUGUCACAGAAGUCGGCCAAGGACAACAAACUCCACCCUUGUGCCUUCUUCUCACGUAAAUUGACUCCAGCUGAGAAGAACUACGACAUAGGCAACAAGGAACUUUUAGCAGUCAAAGUUGCAUUAGAGGAAUGGAGGCACUGGUUGGAGGGGGCGGAGCAGCCUUUUUUGGUCUGGACGGACCAUAAAAAUCUUGAGUACUUAAGGAAUGCCAAGAGACUUAACUCUCGCCAGGCCAGGUGGUCCCUCUUUUUCAAUCGCUUUAACUUCUCACUUUCUUACAGACCUGGGUCCCAAAAUACCAAGCCUGACGCUCUGUCCCGUCUGUAUGAUCCUGAGCCUGCUGCCAAGGAACCUGAACAUAUCCUACCACUUAACAGUGUGGUAGGAGGAGUUUCAUGGCAAAUAGAAUCAGAGGUGAAGAGUGCUAAUGGGGUGAGCCCGGCACCUAGUGGUUGUCCUCAAGACCGGUUGUUUGUCCCAGUGUCCCUCCGUCCACAGGUUAUCCACUGGGCUCACACGUCGGUGCUCACCUGUCAUCCAGGGGUAAGAAGAACUGUGUUUUUCAUUAAGCAGAGGUUCUGGUGGCCGGCCAUGGAAAGAGCAGUCAAGGAGUACGUGGGGGCUUGUCCGAUCUGUGCACAAAACAAAUUCUCUUCCAGAGCACCGAUGGGACUGCUUCAGCCUCUCCCUGUCCCACACCGCCCCUGGUCAGAUAUAUCCAUGGACUUCGUCACCGGUCUCCCCUACUCGGAAGGUAACACCACUGUGCUGACGGUGGUAGACAGGUUUUCUAAAAUGGCUCAUUUCAUUGCUCUACCCAAGCUCCCCUCAGCCAAAGAAACAGCAGACGUUAUGAUGAACAAUGUUUUCAGGCUCCAUGGGUUCCCCAGAGACAUUGUAUCGGAUCGUGGACCGCAGUUUAUUUCCAAGUUUUGGAAGGAGUUCUGCCAUCUCCUAGGUGCCACCGUCAGUCUCACUUCCGGUUAUCAUCCUCAGUCUAAUGGUCAGACUGAGAGGCUUAACCAGGAGCUGGAGACCUGCCUCCGCUGCUUAGUCUCACCGAACCAGGCCUCCUGGAGUAAGCACCUCACAUGGGUAGAUUAUGCCCACAACACACUUCCUACCUCUGCUACCGGGCUCUCACCCUUUCAGUGUGCUUAUGGAUAUCAGCCUCCGUUGUUUCAAGAGACAGAGGGUGAGGUCACAGUCCCCUCUGCCCAUGCCAUGGUACGUCGCUGCCACCGCAUCUGGGCUGCGGCUCGCAGGGUCCUGCUGCGUAGCGCCACAAGGAUGAAGAGUGUUGCAGAUCGGCAACGUCGGCCUGCUCCAUGCUACAGGCCAGGUCAGAAAGUCUGGCUGGCCACCAAGGACUUGCCUCUCCAUGUCAUGUCACCAAGGUCAAACCACUCACCGAGAGCACCUUGGUUCCCGCCUCCAAGCCCCCACCCCCACCCCGGAUUGUGGAUGGCGGUCCAACAUACACUGUCAAAAGGCUUUUGGCUGUCCGUAAGAGAGGACGAGGGAGGCAGUUCCUGGUGGAUUGGGAGGGUUAUGGCCCAGAGGAGAGGUCUUGGAUCCCAUCCAGUUUCGUGGUGGAUCGAUCCUUAAUAGAGGACUUUGACAGGCAAUAUCUUCAGGUGCCUGGGCCGUCAGGAGCCGUCCUUAGAAAGGGGGGUACUGUCAUGUCACGCAAAGUUUGUUAAUUCUGUUGAGCCAAGUUAAUACCACUCAUGUCAUUCACUUCCUGUUUUAUUUUGUAGUUCCCUUUUCCCUCUCGUUUCAGGCACUUGACUUUCUCAACUGUGAUUGCCUCCCCGGUCUCUGAUUCGUCUCACCUGUGUUCCCCUCCCUCAUGUAUAAAUAGCCCUUGUUUUCCUUUGUCUAAUGUCAGUUCGCCUUGCGUCCCUAGCGUAUUGUCAAGCCUCAGGAUUUGUUCGUUUUUGACACUUGCAGACACUACUGUAUUUAACUGUUUUGUAUACUCCUAAGCGAGCACCUUUUGGUUAUAGUUUUGUAUCCUCCAUGAGAGCGUUUUUUGUUACCUUUUUCUAGUAAAGCGUUUUGGUUUAAACAUA